This 482-nucleotide ribosomal RNA is filed under the name uncultured bacterium. Its description in RNAcentral is "partial 16S ribosomal RNA". It matches the Rfam family "Bacterial small subunit ribosomal RNA", at positions 28 to 507 of the family's 1533-position model. The record is from RNAcentral.
GACGAACGCUGGCGGCGUGCUUAACACAUGCCAGUCGAACGAUGAAGAAGAGAAACGCGAACUUCGGUUCAAAUUUCACUUCGGAUUAGUGGCAGACGGGUGAGUAACGCGUGAGCAACCUACCUCUUACAAAGGGAUAGCCUCGGGAAACCGUGAUUAAUACCAUAUGACACAUUCAUAAGGCAUCUUAAGAAUGUUAAAGCUACGGCGGUAAGAGAUGGGCUCGCGUCCCAUUAGCUAGUUGGUGAGGUAACGGCCCACCAAGGCGACGAUGGGUAACCGGGCUGAGAGGGUGAACGGUCACAUUGGAACUGAGACACGGUCCAAACUCCUACGGGAGGCAGCAGUGGGGAAUAUUGCACAAUGGAGGGAACUCUGAUGCAGCGACGCCGCGUGAGCGAUGAAGGAAUUCGUUUCGUAAAGCUCUGUUCUAUGGGAAGAAAAGGACUGUACCAUGGGAGAAAGCCCCGGCUAAAUACGUG